This 262-nucleotide ribosomal RNA is filed under the name uncultured Staphylococcus sp. Its description in RNAcentral is "partial 16S ribosomal RNA". It matches the Rfam family "Bacterial small subunit ribosomal RNA", at positions 524 to 785 of the family's 1533-position model. The record is from RNAcentral. Lineage: Bacteria; Bacillati; Bacillota; Bacilli; Caryophanales; Staphylococcaceae.
UACGUAGGUGGCAAGCGUUAUCCGGAAUUAUUGGGCGUAAAGCGCGCGUAGGCGGUUUUUUAAGUCUGAUGUGAAAGCCCACGGCUCAACCGUGGAGGGUCACUGGAAACUGGAAAACUUGAGUGCAGAAGAGGAAAGUGGAAUUCCAUGUGUAGCGGUGAAAUGCGCAGAGAUAUGGAGGAACACCAGUGGCGAAGGUGACUUUCUGGUCUGUAACUGACGCUGAUGUGCGAAAGCGUGGGGAUCAAACAGGAUUAGAUAC